Callorhinus ursinus (northern fur seal) is the source of this 1178-nucleotide non-coding RNA. Lineage: Eukaryota; Metazoa; Chordata; Mammalia; Carnivora; Otariidae. The record is from RefSeq and is a predicted model, not a curated record.
CCCGCCAGUCUGAGAUCACAGGCCUGUUCCUGCAGGCACUCUUUCUGAUAAGGCCCCAGGAGGUUGAGGUUGACCUAAUUCCCUGCCGGAAGCUGGUUCCCUGACUCUGGGGGUCAGGUGCCAGGGCCGGCCCCGAGACUGUUGGUGUCUAAAGAAGGGGUUCACAAGCAUGGGCUCCAGAAUCAGACCCCGGGGAUUUGUAAACUGGCUCCAUCCCUUACCAGCUAUGUGAAUUUGGUGUGUCCAUGGAGGGCAAAAAAGAAACUGGAUCCCUGUGAUACUGUUGAGCCACUGGAUCAAGCCCUGCCUGAAGCCCACACUUUUGAAAUUUUCAGAUCUUGUGUUUGGUAUCGAGGCACAUUGGUUGCAACAUCUUACAUCCUCCAAGGAUGCUGAUUUAGAUCUGCUCUUUGGCCCUUCCUGCUUAGAUCCUCCUCAGGUAAGAUACCCAAACCCUGAAGUAUUAGUUAGGUAUUGCUGCUGUGAAAAAUAGACCCAAACAUAUCAUGGGUGAACAGAAAAGAAAUUUAUUUCAGUCUAGGGCACUUCUAGCCUGGGUCCAAGUGUGGUGAAUGUGGGGACAUCCUUGUCCAUGAAGUCAUUGGGGAUGUUGGCUGAUGGCGGCCAUAGCAUCUUUAAAAUGGCUUCCAAAGUCAUGCCAUGGGAUCACUGGCAGUUGACCAACAGUAAGAGUGUGGAAGGCUUUUAAUGGUCAGGCCUGGAAAGAGCACCCCUCUGUCACUCUUCAUUGAUCAGAACCAUGUUGCAUGGCCUCAUCCAACUCCAAGGAUGGAGUCUAGCUGUGAGCCCAGGAAGAAGAGGCAGUGGGCUUGGUGAAUGGCUAGCCGGUCUCUGCCAAGCCCGACUUCAGCCCACUGGCAUCUCUGGCAGCCUGGGCUCAUGGCCCACCUUGGCUCAGAUGCUGGGCUCAGCCUAGGGUUCCUGAAACUCCUCUGACUGGAAAUGGGAGUGGUUUGGGAUUUGGGGAAGUGCCAUUUCUAUCUUGGAUGGAUUAAGUGGAAGGGUGUAGAGCAGUGAGCAGGGCAGGAUGUGGCACCUUCACCACGGUCACAAAUCACCAUCAUGGACCACACGCCCCCCAGGCCUAUGGAAUCUGUCUUUCCUUGCAAGGUGAGGACAGUCAUGGGGACAAGCUGGCUGGUGAGCUCCCCAGAAGG